CCUGCCCCUAGAGGAGUUACAGGUGUGGUAGCUGCUGGGUCACAUCUGCUUCUGUAGAUGGCAGAGAGAAGAGAGGCUAUGUCUGUGCUCAGUGUUCUGACCUGUGAACAUCUAAAUGGUUAGUAGCUUAACAUU
Small nucleolar RNA from Rattus norvegicus (Norway rat), 135 nucleotides. Ensembl annotates it as small nucleolar RNA SNORA17. The record is from Ensembl. NCBI's taxonomy places the organism in Eukaryota, Metazoa, Chordata, Mammalia, Rodentia, Muridae.